This 392-nucleotide ribosomal RNA is filed under the name uncultured bacterium. RNAcentral's name for it is "partial 16S ribosomal RNA". It matches the Rfam family "Bacterial small subunit ribosomal RNA", at positions 523 to 918 of the family's 1533-position model. The record is from RNAcentral.
AUACGUAGGGGACAAGCGUUAUCCGGAUUUAUUGGGUUUAAAGGGUGCGCAGGCGGCCAUUUAAGUCAGCGGUUAAAUCGUGGGGCUCAACCCCAUUCUGCCGUUGAUACUGGGUGGCUUGAUUGCGGUCGAGGUUGGCGGAAUUCGUUGUGUAGCGGUGAAAUGCAUAGAUAUGACGAAGAACACCGAUUGCGUAGGCAGCUGACCAGAUCGCAAAUGACGCUCAUGCACGAAAGUGCGGGGAUCGAACAGGAUUAGAUACCCUGGUAGUCCGCACAGUAAACGAUGAAUACUUGUUUUCGGCGAUAUAAUGUCGGAGGCAAAGCGAAAGCGAUAAGUAUUCCACCUGGGGAGUACGCCGGCAACGGUGAAACUCAAAGGAAUUGACGGGG